Molecule: long non-coding RNA, 3866 nt
Filed under: Taeniopygia guttata (zebra finch)
Lineage: Eukaryota; Metazoa; Chordata; Aves; Passeriformes; Estrildidae
Description: lncRNA (ENSTGUG00000026825.1)
Source: RNAcentral
UGAGAAGCAGGAGCAACCUUUAGCUACAGGAAGCUGAGGAGCUGGAGCUGAGGCAGCAGAGCCGGAGGAGACAGAAAUGUGGAGAUGCAUUUGAAGGGGAGCCCACAUUUCUUUGCCCUUGUUGAAGCGAGGCGGUCCAGUCGUGUAACACCGAGACCCCCUCUGCAACCAGCCCGCAGACCCGCUCCUUCAACCUCGUGGGAAUUCAGGAAGCGGCACACGGCUCUGCGAGGAAGCCUUGAUCUUUGUCACUGGAAGGUGUCACACAGGGAGCCUUCAGGAGCGGCCGAGGAGUUGCUGUAAGUCAGGCAACCAUUAGUGAGGGGGAGCCAGGGUCCACUCGAGUUUUGGGAAUGCCACAUCACCUCGUCUCCUCUUCAGCCAGGCAGACCCUGCCAGGAGGGCGAGGGCAAAGCGUGCGGCCCGAGGAGCCCGGCGUUCUUAGGAGAAUGGCGAGUAGCAGAAUUGCUGGUUUGUGGCUGCUGAGCAGCUAAGAUCAUGCAGUGAUGUUUGCUGUUCUUGAUUGUAGCUGAGCAAGGGACCACAGCCUGCUGACCAUAAGACAUUCCCAGCUGUCGAGGCAGCCUCCAUUUGCACAGGAUGUGGAUUCUCAUCCCCGGAUGCCUGAGAGAUAAGUCGAGGGCUAAGGCCCACAGAGGGGACAAAGGCAACGUGCUGGGAGGGCCUAUUGAAUCAGCUCUGGGGGCGGGCAUGUGCAAGAAGGGUCCCCUUAGGCCACCUAAAGGGAAAAUGUCUAUUUUGAUCUCGGUGCUGAAGCGUGCAGGGCAGACCAGUUCCAGUGCGUGUCCUGUCACUUGUCUCUGGUGCACUCUGUGUUGUUUGGGUCUCUCAGUCCUUGCACACAUUCUUCUCAUUGAAAGCUCUCUCUCCCUGUCCUGUCCCCUCGUUUGUCACGUCCUGUCCUGUGUCACCGGUGUCUGCACUCAUUUGUCCAGGAGCUGCUCUGCCCUGCUGCAUAGCCUGUAAUAGCAAAAGCCCCGGGACUUGAAAUUUGUAAUGCAGGGUGUAGUUGGGAUCUAGAUUCUAUUGGGAGAUUGACAUAACAUUUUUGGUGCUGUUAAGUUGUCCUGCAGCUGUUUGACACUAGUUCUAACUUCGUUUCAGAUGCAGACAGUUCAAAUCUGUGGUAGAGAGCGCCAGUCCUGGGUAAAGGUGUUGGCAUAAGCAGGUCAGUCAUUGUUUGCAUUUGCAGGAGAAGCCUAAAUCGUGACUGUGUUACAGCAGUGUUCUUUGCCUUUAUUUUUAGGAGGUCCAGGCAGAUAGCAGCAGUCAAGGCCCAUUGUGCUAGGGAAUCCCUUCGGAGUACGCAUAGCACCUGUCACCAGCUGGCCAAUGGACUGGGUUUCCUGUGCUUUAUGAGACCUCUGGAAGUAUAGCGGGACUCUGUGAUGAAGCCUAAAAAUUUUGUAUUUCAGGGUCCCAACCUGGUAGCCCAGAGGAGUGGACAAGGAAUUGCGGUGAUGCUGUCGGCCUCCAAGCACGCCUGAAGUGUGUGGCCUGGGCACUCUGAGGAGGAUGGCAGACCAAGAGGUGACAGCUGGAACUUAGCAGGCAGGAAGACGGCCUUCUUCUGCAGCCAACAGGGAUUUACAUCCCCAGAUAUGUGCAAGAUAAGUGGAGUGUUACGACCUACAGAGUGGAUGGAAGCACGGUGCUGGCUUGGGCCUUUCUAGAAGGGUUUUUUUUGUCUGUUUUGGGGAUGGGGAUGUCCAAGAAGCAUUUCCCUAGUCCUCCUAAAGGGAAAAUGUCUGUUUUGGUCUCAGUGCUGAGGUUCACAGGGCAGAGCAGUUCCGGUGUGUGUCCUGUCACUUGUCUCUGGUGCACUCUGUGUUGUUUGGGUCUCUCGGUCCUUUCUUCUCCUCGAGAGCUCUCCCUCCCUGUCACGUCCCCUCGUUUGUCACGUCCCGUCCUGUGUCACGGGUGUCUGCACAUAUUUGUCCCGGCCAUGCUCUGCCCUGCUGCAUAGCCUGGCCAGUCCAUAAGGUGAUGUUCGUCACUAAGGUUUGGCCACAGACCAUCCCCAGGCCAGGGUUUUUUUCAAGGAGGAUUUUUUGGAAGCUCCCGGGAGCCACGUUCCUGAGGAACAAUGAUUUCUGGGGUGUAACGGAGCAGUUGAGAUGAGAGCGAUGGUGAGUUUGUGUGUAACAUGAAGGAGGUGCUCAUGCUAGAUGAGUGUUGUUUUGUGUGUGUAAUCUUUCUUUUGUGUUUCCUCUAACAAUAAAACAAAAUGUAAUUAAACUAGAAAAAAGGAUCAUAUUGUGUUGAUAUGUGUUUGGUUUCCAUUGCCCUGUGUUGUUCUGUAUUUGCAUUUGCUGCUGCAUUUCCAUGUAUUGCUUUGUAUCUAUGCAUGUCUAUGGAUUGUAUCUGUACUUGCAUUUGUAUCUGUUGUUUCCAUGUGUUUUGCUGAAGUGUAAAUAAAAAAAUUCAUUCAGUGAAGUUGAAUCAACCCUAGUAAUGAUGCCCCUGCUCCCUCACCUUCCAGCUUUGGCUCCUGUCUUUCUUUGGUGUGGUUUAGUAAUUUUUUUUCACUGUAUUUCUUCCUUUGCUUCUCAUCUUACUUUUCUAUUUCUGACUUCAUUUCUGUCUGUCCCUAACUCUGUGUUUCUAUUUCUCACUGUUUCUAACUCUGUCUCUCUGCUUCUCUAUUUCCCGCUAUUUCUUUUUUUUCUUUCUUUCUCUGUUUCCAACUAUUUCUUUUUCUCUCUAUAGUUUAUACUUUACUCUUUCUUUUUCUCUCUAGCUUUAACUCUUUUUUCCUCUUUUUUCCUCUCACUUUCUUUUUCACUCUAACCCUGCUAAUUUUUCACUCUUUUUGUUUUCACUGUUUGCCACUGUUUUCAUAGUUCUUUUUUUUCUGUCUCUCUUUUUCUCUCCAACUUCAACUUUCUUUAACCCUUUGUUUCUCUCUAUUUCUACCUUUAUUUCUAACUCUGCUUUCCUUUCUAGCUUUAAAAAAGAACAGCAGUAAAAACUUUCAGGCUCCCUGGGAGUAAAAAAAAAAAAAAAAAACACCAAAAAAAACCAACCCAACCUUUAAAUAAUUAUUUAAAGAAAAUUAUUUAAUCCCUGGGAGCCUGAAAUUUUCUACUUCUGCACCAGACAUCCAGUUUUUCUUCUUUUUCCUAAUAGAUAUAGGGCUCCUAAUUAGCGCUCCAGCUGGCAGGUAGCAGUAGCAAUAUGCAGAAACCAGUAUUCCCAUCAAGCCCACCAGAUGAAUAAUGAUACGACCAAGAGUUCAUCAUGUUGAAACAUAAAUUUUAAGGGAUUUAGAGAUUUUAGAGCAGCCAAGAUUUUAGUUAAAGACAAGCCUUACUAGAGUUAAUUAAAAUAAAUUAGUAGGCCUUGAUAAAGUUAAGAGUGAGUAGUUAACUAGUAAUUGAUUGCCUGUCAGCACAAUGUUUAGUUAGCUGGGUUAAUAAUGAAGAAUAUAGAAACUGAUAAAUAGCUUUUAAGAACAUAAGACAAUUGUGGGCCUCCUCUGUUCUGAAAUCAAAUGAAGACAAGGAAUGGAAGUUCUACCAAGAGUUCAUUUGUCAUAUUUGCAUUGAAACGGUAGAAAGGCCAGAACAAGGAAGACUUCAUUUAAUUCCACAUUUUGGGACUCAUCCCCAUGAAAGGGACCACUGACCCAUUUCAGGGAACAAACUUCAUGCUUAAUAGCUUUUGAAAUGAUUAGCAUAUGAAGCAAGGAAUGGGAUGUACCAAAAUGAAUAGGUAUUUGUAAAUUCGGUAUUCAGUACUUGUAUGGACAAAACGGCUCUUUAAUCACUUGGAAAGUGCGGUGUGUAUUUGGGAACUAUCCCACACGCUGCUGGGUGUCGAAUAAACAUACACUUUCUAACUUC